UGGGGAAUAUUGGACAAUGGGCGAAAGCCUGAUCCAGCCAUGCCGCGUGUGCGAAGAAGGUCUUCGGAUUGUAAAGCACUUUAAGUUGGGAGGAAGGGCAUUAACCUAAUACGUUAGUGUUUUGACGUUACCGACAGAAUAAGCACCGGCUAACUCUGUGCCAGCAGCCGCGGUAAUACAGAGGGUGCAAGCGUUAAUCGGAAUUACUGGGCGUAAAGCGCGCGUAGGUGGUUUGUUAAGUUGGAUGUGAAAUCCCCGGGCUCAACCUGGGAACUGCAUUCAAAACUGACUGACUAGAGUAUGGUAGAGGGUGGUGGAAUUUCCUGUGUAGCGGUGAAAUGCGUAGAUAUAGGAAGGAACACCAGUGGCGAAGGCGACCACCUGGACUAAUACUGACACUGAGGUGCGAAAGCGUGGGGAGCAAACA
Molecule: ribosomal RNA, 427 nt
Filed under: uncultured bacterium
Lineage: Bacteria
Description: partial 16S ribosomal RNA
Rfam family: Bacterial small subunit ribosomal RNA
Source: RNAcentral